This 484-nucleotide ribosomal RNA is filed under the name uncultured bacterium. Its description in RNAcentral is "partial 16S ribosomal RNA". It matches the Rfam family "Bacterial small subunit ribosomal RNA", at positions 30 to 507 of the family's 1533-position model. The record is from RNAcentral.
AUUGAACGCUGGCGGCAGGCCUAACACAUGCAAGUCGAGCGGAUGAAGGGAGCUUGCUCCUGGAUUCAGCGGCGGACGGGUGAGUAAUGCCUAGGAAUCUGCCUGGUAGUGGGGGAUAACGUCCGGGAACGGGCGCUAAUACCGCAUACGUCCUGAGGGAGAAAGUGGGGGAUCUUCGGACCUUACGCUAUCAGAUGAGCCUAGGUCGGUUUGGCUAGUUGGUGGGGUAAAGGCGUAACAAGGCGACGACCCGUAAAUGGUGUGAGAGGGUGAUGAGUCACACUGGAACUGAGACACGGUCCAGACUCCUACGGGAGGCAGCAAUGGGGAAGAUUGGACAAUGGGCGAAAGCCUGAUCCAGCCAUGCCGCGUGUGUGAAGAAGGUCUUCGGAUGGUAAAGCACUUUAAGUUGUGAGGAAGGGCAGUAAGUUAAUACCUUGCUGUUUUGACGUUACCAACAGAAUAAGCACCGGCUAACUUCGUG